Molecule: small RNA, 1476 nt
Filed under: Arabidopsis thaliana (thale cress)
Lineage: Eukaryota; Viridiplantae; Streptophyta; Magnoliopsida; Brassicales; Brassicaceae
Description: ATSL174150
Source: RNAcentral
AAUUUAGUUUUGGUAUAGUAAGCUAUAUUCUUUUUUUUUUAAAUAGUGAGUUAUAUUCAUUUUCAACACUUUGUAAAAGUUACAUGCUAAAAACUAGUCGCCAUAAAAUGCGAUACAAUGUGUCAAAUGGAAAUGAAUUUUAAAGAAUAUCUAUGUAAAAUUCUACUUUUAUGUGUAAGAUGUUUUUACCCCAUUAGAAAUUAGGUAAGUGCAGCAUUGUUUGUUAUGAAGGUUGGAAGUUUGAGAGAUUUAGUCGCCAUAAUGCGAUACAAUGUAUCAGAUGGAGAUGAAUUUUAAAAUAUAUCUAUGUAAAAUUCCACUUUUAUGUGCGAGAUAUUUUUAACUAUUAGAAAUCAGGUAAGUGCAGCAUUGUUUGUUAUGAAAGUUGGAAGUUUGAGAGAUUUAGUCGUCAUAAUGCGAUACAAUGUAUCAUAUGGAGAUGCAUUUUAAAGGAUAUUUCUGUAAAAUUCUACUUUUAUGUGCGAAAUAUUUUUACUCCAUUCGAAUUUGGGUAAAUGAAGCCUUGUUUGCUAUGAAAGUUGGAAGUUUGAGAGAUUUCCACUUCGGUUUAAUGAAAAGUUUCUUAGAUAUAUUAAAUAUAUUAGUAGGUCUCCAGUGUAGAUCCUCGUAUCUUCUUAUGGUUAGCAAACAUAUCAAAUUAAUGGUGCAUGAUAUUCCUAAUAGUGUCACUAAAACAUGAACAAUUUUAUCUAGUGUCGUACUCGAAAGACUGGUAUAUAUCACAAUCACAUGCAUGAGAAAACGAGAGUUUGAUAUAUCUUUGCUUAUUAUCAUUGUCGUUUUAUUUUUGCUAACUCUACAUUAUUCCUUCGACUUUGAGUUUUUCUCUUAAUAUAUCAUCUAAAAAGGUAAUAUUAUAUUAUUAAUAGUUAAUUCUCCUCUUAUACUCCUUCUCAUUAUCAUCCUCAUUCACAUCCAUAUUUAUGACGACAAAAUUAGUUAGUAGAUGCAUGAAUUCAGAUGAGUCUCGAACAAAGACUUUUUGGUGUACCAUCUACACCCACAUAGAUAUGCAAAGUCGCGAAGAUACAUAAAUAUAUCCAUUAUCACCCAGAUGAUCGUCAUGGCUAUCUUUGCAUUCAGCCACGAGUUUGUCAUCCAUUAUGUCAAUAUAUCCAUAAUCAUAAAGUGAUCUCCUAAGAACCAUCAUUUACUAAUUCGGCAGAACCAUAAUAAAUAACCUUUCUUUAUUCACCAUUUUUGUUAUGAAGUAUGUCGGCUCCUAUCGGAAAAAUUAAUCACACAUUUAUAGAAAUAGCAAUAAUAUAUAUAUAUAUAUAUAUAAUGUAUGUACUGUAUUAAUCUUUGUUUGUUCAACAAUCAAAAUUAUUUCAAACCAAACAUAUUAUUUCACAAAAUAUGCACAACAAAUUUGUCAACUUAUUUCUAUCACAAUACUUUGGUUUUUCCUUUCAACAUGAUUUUGGUAGUACGAAUGUUUAGGUUGAAUGCAAA